RNAcentral lists this ribosomal RNA (703 nucleotides) under Nostoc sp. 44.1. RNAcentral describes it as "bacterial SSU rRNA". It matches the Rfam family "Bacterial small subunit ribosomal RNA", at positions 38 to 785 of the family's 1533-position model. The record is from RNAcentral. Lineage: Bacteria; Bacillati; Cyanobacteriota; Cyanophyceae; Nostocales; Nostocaceae.
GGCGGUAUGCUUAACACAUGCAAGUCGAACGAAAUCUUCGGAUUUAGUGGCGGACGGGUGAGUAACGCGUGAGAAUCUGGCUUCAGGUCUGGGACAACCACUGGAAACGGUGGCUAAUACCGGAUGUGCCGAGAGGUGAAAGGUUAACUGCCUGAAGAUGAGCUCGCGUCUGAUUAGCUAGUAGGUAGUGUAAUGGACUACCUAGGCGACGAUCAGUAGCUGGUCUGAGAGGACGAUCAGCCACACUGGGACUGAGACACGGCCCAGACUCCUACGGGAGGCAGCAGUGGGGAAUUUUCCGCAAUGGGCGAAAGCCUGACGGAGCAAUACCGCGUGAGGGAGGAAGGCUCUUGGGUCGUAAACCUCUUUUCUCAGGGAAGAACACAAUGACGGUACCUGAGGAAUAAGCAUCGGCUAACUCCGUGCCAGCAGCCGCGGUAAUACGGAGGAUGCAAGCGUUAUCCGGAAUGAUUGGGCGUAAAGCGUCCGCAGGUGGCUAUGUAAGUCUGCUGUUAAAGAGUCUAGCUCAACUAGAUAAAAGCAGUGGAAACUACAUGGCUAGAGUGCGUUCGGGGCAGAGGGAAUUCCUGGUGUAGCGGUGAAAUGCGUAGAGAUCAGGAAGAACACCGGUGGCGAAGGCGCUCUGCUAGGCCGCAACUGACACUGAGGGACGAAAGCUAGGGGAGCGAAUGGGAUUAGAUAC